CCGCCGGCGACCGGCGCACGGGUGGAGUAACACGUAUGCAACCUGGCCGUGACAGGAUGGAUAACCGGGAGAAAUCCCGCCUAAUACAACAGUAAUGCCGGGAGGGGACAUCCCCUGCCGGCCAAAGGGGGCGACCCCGGUCACGGAUGGGCAUGCGGCGCAUUAGGUAGUUGGUGGGCAACGGCCCACCAAGCCGACGAUGCGUAGGGGUUCUGAGAGGAAGGUCCCCCACAUUGGAACUGAGACACGGUCCAAACUCCUACGGGAGGCAGCAG
Molecule: ribosomal RNA, 275 nt
Filed under: uncultured bacterium
Lineage: Bacteria
Description: partial 16S ribosomal RNA
Rfam family: Bacterial small subunit ribosomal RNA
Source: RNAcentral